Larimichthys crocea (large yellow croaker) is the source of this 1421-nucleotide long non-coding RNA. RefSeq lists it as uncharacterized. NCBI's taxonomy places the organism in Eukaryota, Metazoa, Chordata, Actinopteri, Sciaenidae. The record is from RefSeq and is a predicted model, not a curated record. The transcript is spliced from 3 exons.
CAAAGAGUCCACGGGUGGUGUACGGGGUCCAACAGCUGUUUGUGUCACAGGUGGAGGCGUUAAAACGAGCGGCUCGGCCCGGCUCGGCUCGGUGAAGGUCACUACACUCCUGGACCACCCCCACCCAUCCUCCACCCCCCUCGGUCAGUGUAAGGACCAUUACCUGAGUCCCAUUAAAGCUGUGGCUUUGUCCCAACACCACCUCCACCCGAACACCACCCUCAGCUGAACAGACCUUCAGAGUCAGAUCACAUGACCUUCAUCAUCCCCACGUGGCCCCUCAGGAGCCCUCGGACCACGUGUUGAGAGUGUGAUGUGAAAGAUGGCCGACAGCCUCUCGAUAGAGACAGACGGCGUCAUGAGAGCUGUCACAUAUUUCAGCGCGGCGCUCAUUAAAGACGCUCGCGCUCGGCGCCGUAAUUGUUUUAAUUUAUUUGUUUAUGAGAAGACGGAGGGGACGCGGCGCGCGGCGCUUUAUUGGAACAUAUGGAAGACAUUCAUCACCAUUUGCAGCGAGCGGCCUAAACGAUUUUAUUAACUCAUUUGUAACUUUACACUUUUUAAUCAAACACAUGCUGCGCUACGCAGCGCGCACACAACGCUGCCAUAACGCUACCACAACGCUCACACAACGCUGCCACAACGCUCACACAACGCUGCCACAACGCUCCGGGGCUUUGUAAAGAGAGCGAGCAGCCGGAGGGAAAUAAAGAGGAGAGGAAAGAGGAGGGAAGGAACGAAGGAGGAGAGGAGAGGAGAGGAGAGGAGGGAGGGUUAGUGUGCUCAGCCAGACCACCUGACAGCGAUGAUGAUGAUGAUUGGCCGAGCCGCAGGGCGUGGCCGCCGGGCUCUGAGGUCUUUAGUCCGCCUCGCAGAGCAGCUGUUUACCUGAAGGCGGCGAGGCGGCGAGGCGGCGAGUUUCUGCUGCGGUGAACACACCUUUGUUUCUAGUUGAUAAUCAGACACCCGGAGGGGAACGCCGCCUCGCUGCUAACCUGCAGAAACCCGGAUCAGAGCCAAGGGUCCGGAUCAGAGCCAAGGGUCCGGAUCAGAGUGACUCAGGUGCAGGUGUAAUAAAAGUUCAGCCUUCCUCCUCUGAAUGACUUCCUGCAGUGAAACUUUAAACACUCACGGGUUGGAGCAGGUUCUGGUUGGAGGUCCAAGGUGACGGAGCUGGCGGUCCCGGUACAUUCACAUGAUGUAAGUUUUGUUAAAUGUUGUAAAUGUAAAUGCCAACGUAACUUUGUAAUGUUGUUACGUAUUUAAACUAUUAAACUUUGUUUUGUACGUUUGAUGAAGCUAACGCUCCAUUAAGCUGUUUUUAUUAAUUACUGUGUGGGCUCGUUAACACCUUCAUGGACCACCACAAAUCACCUGGAGUGGUGAGUCUAAACCACCUCCACCAACACCUCCACCUGUUG